GACGAACGCUGGCGGCGUGCUUAACACAUGCAAGUCGAACGGAAAGGCCCUGCUUUUGUGGGUUGCUCGAGUGGCGAACGUGUGAGUAACACGUGUGUAACCUGCCCUUGACUUUGGGAUAACUUCAGGAAACUGUGGCUAAUACCGGAUAGGAGCUCCUUCUGCAUGGUGUGGGUUGGAAAGUUUCGGCGGUUGGGGAUGGACUCGCGGCUUAUCAGCUUGUUGGUGGGGUAGUGGCUUACCAAGGCUUUGACGGGUAGCCGGCCUGAGAGGGUGACCGGCAACAUUGGGACUGAGAUACGGCCCAGAAUGCUACGGGAGGCAGCAGUGGGGAAUAUUGCACAAUGGGCGGAAGCAUGAUGCAGCAAAGCCGCGUGCGGGAUGACGGCCGUCGGGUUGUAAACAGAUUUCGAAUGUGACGAAGAGGGAGUGACGGUAAUGGGUAAAGAAGCACCGGCUAACUACGUG
RNAcentral lists this ribosomal RNA (468 nucleotides) under uncultured bacterium. RNAcentral's name for it is "partial 16S ribosomal RNA". It matches the Rfam family "Bacterial small subunit ribosomal RNA", at positions 28 to 507 of the family's 1533-position model. The record is from RNAcentral.